AAUUGUGCAAGUUCUCCCACUUAAAAAGAUGAGAGGCCUGUAAUUUUCAUCAUAGGUACACUUCAACUAUGACAGACAAAAUCAGAAAAACAAAUCCAGAAAAUCACAUUGUAGGAUUUUUAAUGAAUUUAUUUGCAAAUUAUGGUGGAAAAUAAGUAUUUGGUCAAUAACAAAGGUUUAUCUCAAUACUUUGUUAUAUACCUUUUGUUGGCAAUGACAGAGGUCAAACGUUUUCUGUAAGUCUUCACAAGGUUUUCACACACUGUUGCUGGUAUUUUGGCCCAUUCCUCCAUGCAGAUCUCCUGUAGAGCAGUGAUGUUUUGGGGCUGUUGCUGGGCAACACGGACUUUCAAUUCCCUCCAAAGAUUUUCUAUGGGGUUGAGAUCUGGAGACUGGCUAGGCCACUCCAGGACCUUGAAAUGCUUCUUACGAAGCCACUCCUUCGUUGCCCCGGCGGUGUGUUUGGGAUCAUUGUCAUGCUGAAAGACCCAGCCACGUUUCAUCUUCAAUGCCCUUGCUGAUGGAAGGAGGUUUUCACUCAAAAUACAUGGCCCCAUUCAUUCUUUCCUUUCCACAGAUCAGUCGUCCUGGUCCCUUUGCAGAAAAACAGCCCCAAAUCAUGAUGUUUCCACCCCCAUGCUUCACAGUAGGUAUGGUGUUCUUUGGAUGCAACUCAGCAUUCUUUGUCCUCCAAACACGACGAGUUGAGUUUUUACCUAAAAGUUCAAUUUUGGUUUCAUCUGACCAUAUGACAUUCUCUCAAUCUUCUCCAAUCUUCUUCUGGAUCAUCCAAAUGCUCUCUAGCAAACUUUAGACGGGCCUGGACAUGUACUGGCUUACGCAGGGGGACACGUCUGGCACUGCAGGAUUUCAGUCCCUGGCGGCGUAGUGUGUUACUGAUGGUAGGCUUUGUUACUUUGGUCCCAGCUCUCUACAGGUCAUUCACUAGGUCCCCCCGUGUGGUUUUGGGAUUUUUGCUCAUCAUUUUGACCCCACGGAGUGAGAUCUUGCGUGGAGCCCCAGAUCGAGGGAGAUUAUCAGUGGUCUUGUAUGUCUUCCAUUUCCUAAUAAUUGAUCCCACAGUUGAUUUCUUCAAACCAAGCUGCUUACCUAUUGCAGAUUCAGUCUUCCCAGCCUGGUGCAGGUCUACAACUUUGUUUCUGGUGUCCUUUGACAGCUCUUUGGUCUUGGCCAUAGUGGAGUUUGGAGUGUUUGAGGUUGUGGACAGGUGUCUUUUAUACUGAUAACAAGUUCAAACAGUUGCCAUUAAUACAGGUAACGAGUGGAGGACAGAGGAGCCUCUUAAAGAAGAAGUUACAGGUCUGUGAGAGCCAGAAAUCUUGCUUGUUUGUAGGUGACCAAAUACUUAUUUUCCACCAUAAUUUGCAAAUAAAUUAAUUAAAAACCCUACAAUGUGAUUUUCUGGGUUUUUUCCCUCACUUUGUCUGUCAUAGUUGAAGUGUACCUAUGAUGAAAAUUACAGGCCUCUCAUCUUUUUAAGUGGGAGAACUUGCACAAUUGGUGGCUGACUAAGUACUUUUUUGCCCCACUGUACAUUAGUCAGUGGAUGGAUGGAUGAAUGGAGUGAGGUUGGGGUUGGUUAGUUGGUGGAUGAAUGGAGUGAGGUUGGGGUCGGUAAGUUGGUAGAUGAAUGGAGUGAAGUAGGGGUUGGUUAGUUGGUAGAUGAAUGGAGUGAGGUGGGGGUUGGUUAGUUGGUGGAUGAAUGGAGUGAGGUAGGGGUUGGUUAGUUGGUGGAUGAAUGGAGUGAGGUAGGGGUUGGUUAGUUGGUAGAUGAAUGGAGUGAGGUAGGGGUUGGUUAGUUGGUGGAUGAAUGGAGUGAGGUGGGGGUUGGUUAGUUGGUAGAUUAAUGGAGUGAGGUAGGGGUUGGUUAGUUGGUGGAUGAAUGGAGUGAGGUAGGGGUUGGUUAGUUGGUGGAUGAAUGGAGUGAGGUAGGGGUUGGUUAGUUGGUGGAUGAAGGGAGUGAGGUGGGGGUUGGUUAGUUGGUGGAUGAAGGGAGUGAGGUAGGGGUUGGUUAGUUGGUGGAUGAAUGGAGUGAGGUAGGGGUUGGUUAGUUGGUGGAUGAAGGGAGUGAGGUUGGGGUUGGUUAGUUGGUAGAUGAAUGGAGUGAGGUAGGGGUUGGUUAGUUGGUGGAUGAAUGGAGUGAGGUUGGGGUCGGUAAGUUGGUAGAUGAAUGGAGUGAAGUAGGGGUUGGUUAGUUGGUAGAUGAAUGGAGUGAGGUGGGGGUUGGUUAGUUGGUGGAUGAAUGGAGUGAGGUAGGGGUUGGUUAGUUGGUGGAUGAAUGGAGUGAGGUAGGGGUUGGUUAGUUGGUGGAUGAAGGGAGUGAGGUGGGGGUUGGUUAGUUGGUGGAUGAAUGGAGUGAGGUUGGGGUUGGUUAGUUGGUAGAUGAAUGGAGUGAGGUGGGGGUUGGUUAGUUGGUGGAUGAAGGGAGUGAGGUGGGGGUUGGUUAGUUGGUGGAUGAAGGGAGUGAGGUAGGGGUUGGUUAGUUGGUGGAUGAAUGGAGUGAGGUGGGGGUUGGUUAGUUGGUAGAUUAAUGGAGUGAGGUAGGGGUUGGUUAGUUGGUGGAUGAAUGGAGUGAGGUAGGGGUUGGUUAGUUGGUGGAUGAAUGGAGUGAGGUUGGGGUCGGUAAGUUGGUAGAUGAAUGGAGUGAGGUAGGGGUUGGUUAGUUGGUGGAUGAAUGGAGUGAAGUAGGGGUUGGUUAGUUGGUGGAUGAAUGGAGUGAGGUUGGGGUUGGUUAGUUGGUAGAUGAAUGGAGUGAGGUAGGGGUUGGUUAGUUGGUGGAUGAAUGGAGUGAGGUGGGGGUUGGUUAGUUGGUAGAUGAAUGGAGUGAGGUAGGGGUUGGUUAGUUGGUGGAUGAAUGGAGUGAGGUAGGGGUUGGUUAGUUGGUGGAUGAAUGGAGUGAGGUUGGGGUCGGUAAGUUGGUAGAUGAAUGGAGUGAAGUAGGGGUUGGUUAGUUGGUAGAUGAAGGGAGUGAGGUGGGGGUUGGUUAGUUGGUAGAUGAAUGGAGUGAGGUUGGGGUCGGUAAGUUGGUAGAUGAAUGGAGUGAAGUAGGGGUUGGUUAGUUGGUAGAUGAAUGGAGUGAGGUGGGGGUUGGUUACUUGGUGGAUGAAUGGAGUGAGGUAGGGGUUGGUUAGUUGGUGGAUGAAUGGAGUGAGGUAGGGGUUGGUUAG
Molecule: long non-coding RNA, 3188 nt
Organism: Oncorhynchus keta (chum salmon)
Lineage: Eukaryota; Metazoa; Chordata; Actinopteri; Salmoniformes; Salmonidae
Exons: 6
Source: RefSeq, a predicted model, not a curated record